AAAAAUAUUAAAAAUUAGGUAGUAAAGGAAUUUCCGAAACCUAAAGGACUUGGCGGUAUUUUAAAUAAUUGGAGGAACUUGUUAUUUAAUUGAAACUACACAACAAAUCUUUCCUUGUUUUUGCUUGUAUAUCAUUGUUUAAAGACAACAUUUUCUAAUAUAGUCUAAAUCAAAUUUAUUCAAAAAAUCAAAUCAAGGCGCAGCAUAAUAAGGUAGUAAUGAGUUACAAUGAAUUUUAUUCAAAACGGAGAUAAAAAUUAAAAAUAUAUUGAAGGUGGAUUUAAAAAUAAUGAAAAACUAAAAAGUUUUCAUGAAUAAUAAUUUAAAAUAUGC
RNAcentral lists this ribosomal RNA (333 nucleotides) under Heterometrus spinifer (Asian forest scorpion). Its description in RNAcentral is "partial small subunit ribosomal RNA". The record is from RNAcentral. Lineage: Eukaryota; Metazoa; Arthropoda; Arachnida; Scorpiones; Scorpionidae.